This 1161-nucleotide long non-coding RNA is filed under the name Canis lupus familiaris (dog). RNAcentral's name for it is "lncRNA (ENSCAFG00000058964.1)". Lineage: Eukaryota; Metazoa; Chordata; Mammalia; Carnivora; Canidae. The record is from RNAcentral.
UGUUUGAAAUUUGUUCAUUUUCCCUCUCUUAAUUUAUUUAGAGCCGGGUGAAGGAAACUUGGAAUGUAUAUGGUGUCAUUUUUAACUUUGAAGAAUAAAGAUAAUCUAUGGUUUAGCUGAAAGCACUUGGAGAGAUGAAUCUUGAAAGAUACCAAGAAGGACUCAUCAAAUAUUACCUGGGAGACAUGGCCUUGAAAGCAUAACCUGUGAAUAUAAUCCAUCUGAGACAGCACUUAACUCCAGACAACUCAAUGAUCAACUCAGAAAAAGCAGCAAACAUGAAAAUUCUAUGGCUGAGGCCAUAUUGCACAUCCUUGGAGGACUGUUAACAAGAAGAGAAAAGAAAAUCUGUGGUAUGUGUGAAUCAACUGAUAUUUUAAGCACAAAUGUUUUUCUUCUUUAGAAAACAAGGUCAAUAUAUUAAUGUUGAUAUUCAUGCACAAAAAUGGGUCAGCUGAUAUUUUAAAAAAUCUUUUUUGCUUUGUUUUGCUCUUUCCCUAAGGUCACUGACCAGACACUGGACAGGUAAUAUACUAAGACUCUAAAUAUCUACAAAGGCAGUCUUAUUUGUUCUACGUAGAAAUUUCUGAGAAGGCCCUGAGUCUGAUAGAAUAUAUACCAUAGGGUAAGCAUUCAGUUCAUAUGUGGUAACAACGAUGGAUUUGGGGCCAAAUAUAUUUUGAGAACUGGAGUUUUAUUAAGUGCUUAUUUCAGGCAAGAUGCUAAGCAUUCCACAUAGAUUUUUAAAAGUUCAAUGUUAGACUAGUCCUGUAAGAUACACAUUAUUAUCCUUUCAGAUAUUACAACAAAACAAAAUGGGGGGAAAACCCAAAAAAAGAACCCGAGAGUUAGUGGUAUUGGGCACGAUUGCAGCUCUAAAGUGGAAUCCUGGAAUCCUGGUUUGAACUAAGGCAUUCCUACCCUAGAGCUCACUCUCUUAGGCAAUCACUCCAUUAUACUGCCUUGCCAUCUAAUGUUCCAGUGAUGUAGUAAUAGCAUCGAAGAGGUAAUUUAAAGGAAGGACUGACUUCCAGAAAGAGGGCUAUCAAAGAAAAUACACAGUGUGGAACAUUUUGCUGUGGCAGCAGGAAGUCUUGAUUUCACAGAAUAUGUCUUGUUAGAUGCCAGUUUAAUUAGCACCAUCCUCUUGGGUCUCGAUGU